This is a small nucleolar RNA of Cricetulus griseus (Chinese hamster), 130 nucleotides long. Ensembl annotates it as small nucleolar RNA SNORA61. NCBI's taxonomy places the organism in Eukaryota, Metazoa, Chordata, Mammalia, Rodentia, Cricetidae. The record is from Ensembl.
ACCCUCCGGUUCCUUUCCCCAUCAGAUCUAGUUGCUGGUCUUGGUUGUUGUACAGUGGGAAGAUUACACCAAAGCUGUCCUCUCUGAGAUGUAGUUUGGUGUAGAGUAUGAAGGCCAGAUUCAAGCAAAG